This 605-nucleotide long non-coding RNA is filed under the name Dromaius novaehollandiae (emu). Its description in RNAcentral is "lncRNA (ENSDNVG00000016771.1)". The record is from RNAcentral. Lineage: Eukaryota; Metazoa; Chordata; Aves; Casuariiformes; Dromaiidae.
UAUGUAUUUGCCCUGUUGUUACACUCUUCUGUUUAUAGCUGUUGGUGAUAAAAUUCUGGGCUCACAGCCUCUUGAGCUGAGCUCGUAUCACUGUUCUUAGGUACUAAUUAAUUAAUUAGUAAAUGAAAAACAGAAACAGACUAUCUACAGUGAGAGCAUGUUCUCCUUUGCUGGAGACAUUUAAAAGCAGGAAAUAUAUUAAUAAAAUCCAAGUGUCUCAGACAUUUUUAUGAGUGGGCUCCCUUGGCUGUCGGUGAAACUACUGAAGAUCACAUAGGUCCUGAAGGGAGUGAGCAAGUACGGCAAAGCUUCGGACAACUGAUGAAGUUACUGCCUCCAGUUGUCUGCUGCGCAGAGGAUGAGGCCUUUAUGGAUUAACUCUAUUACUCUGAGUACAUUAAAGUUCAGAGCAAGGACUUUAUAGCAGCCAGCAAGUGGCGAAGCACCAUCUGGAUUGGAGUGGCACAGCAUGGAAAGCUAACAUACAUGCUGCACCAGAAACAAAGCAGAUUUAUCCUUAUGUUCACUGGAAGGCAGCUGAUCAGCUUCCAACAGACCGCAACAGUUCCAAACACAAUUGAAUAAAAUACAUAUAUUUGUUGCCA